AGAGUUUGAUCCUGGCUCAGGACGAACGCUGGCGGCGUGCCUAAUACAUGCAAGUCGAACGCGAGCAGCAAUGCUUGAGUGGCGACCGGGUGCGUAACACGUAGCUGACCUGCCCCUCAGCGGGGGACAACUGCUGGAAACGGCAGCUAAUACCGCAUGACAUUCAAGCGACUAGAGAGCAUGAAUGAAACUUCCGGGGC
RNAcentral lists this ribosomal RNA (200 nucleotides) under uncultured bacterium. RNAcentral describes it as "partial 16S ribosomal RNA". It matches the Rfam family "Bacterial small subunit ribosomal RNA", at positions 8 to 218 of the family's 1533-position model. The record is from RNAcentral.